CAGAUACAGAGGAUGUCGCAUAGGAUUCAAAGAAGUACCCGUAUGUCCAUAUUAUGGUCACGAGGAAUCUCCGUGUAAUGGUUAUCAUUGUCCUCCAAGACCAGGUUCCUGGAGUUCUUGGAGUAGUAGUCCGUGUAGUAAAUCUUGUGGAGGGGGCAUGAAAACAAAAUACCGAACCUGUAUCUGUCCUAUUCCUUUUCUUGGAGGACAAGGAUGCUAUGGAAAAUCAAUGGAAACUGUCUCUUGUAACACUCACUUAUGUCCAGUAAAUGGUGCUUGGUCCAGUUGGCAAAACCCUUCUCGCUGUACUGUUUCUUGUGGAGGGGGAGUAAGCAUACGGACCAGAAAAUGUAACAACCCUUCACCAUCUCACGGAGGAAAAACGUGUCGGGGAGUGUCGGUUCAUACAGAAUCUUGCAACACCCAGUCUUGUCCAGGUUACAUUAAUUUCCAUUUAAAUGUUGAUUCUCCGAGUU
Molecule: long non-coding RNA, 476 nt
Organism: Saccostrea cuccullata (small rock oyster)
Lineage: Eukaryota; Metazoa; Mollusca; Bivalvia; Ostreida; Ostreidae
Exons: 3
Source: RefSeq, a predicted model, not a curated record